UACGUAGAGAGCAAGCGUUGUUCGGAUUUACUGGGCGUAAAGGGCGCGUAGGCGGCGCGGUAAGUCACUUGUGAAAUCUCUGAGCUUAACUCAGAACGGCCAAGUGAUACUGCAGUGCUAGAGUGCAGAAGGGGCAAUCGGAAUUCUUGGUGUAGCGGUGAAAUGCGUAGAUAUCGUCAAGAACACCAAUAGUGAAGACAGCUUACUGGGCUUAAACUGACGCUGAGGCACGAAAGUGUGGGGAUCAAACAGG
RNAcentral lists this ribosomal RNA (253 nucleotides) under uncultured bacterium. RNAcentral's name for it is "partial 16S ribosomal RNA". It matches the Rfam family "Bacterial small subunit ribosomal RNA", at positions 524 to 776 of the family's 1533-position model. The record is from RNAcentral.